GACGAACGCUGGCGGCGUGCCUAAUACAUGCAAGUAGAACGCUGAAGAGAGGAGCUUGCUCUUCUUGGAUGAGUUGCGAACGGGUGAGUAACGCGUAGGUAACCUGCCUUGUAGCGGGGGAUAACUAUUGGAAACGAUAGCUAAUACCGCAUAACAAUGGAUGACACAUGUCAUUUAUUUGAAAGGGGCAAUUGCUCCACUACAAGAUGGACCUGCGUUGUAUUAGCUAGUAGGUGAGGUAAUGGCUCACCUAGGCGACGGUACAUAGCCGACCUGAGUGGGUGAACGGCCAACCUGGGACUGGGACAAGGCCCAGAAUCCUACGGGAGGCAGCCGUAGGGAAUCUUCGGCAAUGGGGGCAACCCUGACCGAGCAACGCCGCGUGAGUGAAGAAGGUUUUCGGAUCGGAAAGCUCUGUUGUAAGUCAAGAAAGGGUGUGAGAGUGGAAAGUUCACACUGUGACGGUAGCUUAACAGAAAGCGACGGCUAACUACGUG
RNAcentral lists this ribosomal RNA (497 nucleotides) under uncultured bacterium. RNAcentral describes it as "partial 16S ribosomal RNA". It matches the Rfam family "Bacterial small subunit ribosomal RNA", at positions 28 to 507 of the family's 1533-position model. The record is from RNAcentral.